RNAcentral lists this non-coding RNA (28 nucleotides) under Mus musculus (house mouse). The record is from RNAcentral. Lineage: Eukaryota; Metazoa; Chordata; Mammalia; Rodentia; Muridae.
UCAAGUCCUUACAACCAAUCUAGUGUGC